CUUCACUUAUUUCUUUUUUAUUUUCUUUUUGUACCUGUCUUUGAAGUGAGGAAGUGUGCAGACACUUUUGCAGAAAGAAAGCAGCAAAUGCUUAAGAUGAAGAGAUGGAUGGAUAGAAAAAGAGAGGGUGGGGAGAAAGGAGACUUUACACUUCUGCACCGUUUCCUCUCGCUUCAGUCUUUGUGUCGUUUUGGCAUGCAUUGUCUCUCUUCUCUUCUUCUCUCCCCUGUUAUUCUCAACCUGUUCAUCUCCAGAAUGGAUAAAAGGCUUGUACUUACCAUCCUGGCCCUGUGUGUAAUGAAUGUUGUAAGCGAGACAUCCACCUCCCAACAUCCCACACCAUCCAACUCCACUCCUGCUACCUCCAGUACUCCCGCUCCCACCAACUCAUGUGUGUGUAAUAUCCCCACUGCCUGUGCCUCUCCAACCCAGCCCGAGUCUCCGCCACCUGCGCUGGGUGUUUUCAAGGUCAAAUGGAAAGAGUCCUGUCAGGGGGAGAUACGCCUGUCCCUCCUCUCGCCCCGUUCCUUACCACUCUGCUUUAAAAGUAGGUACCAUCAUAACCUUACACUGGGAGUGUUGUGUGAGAGGAAGGGCUGCAAGGGCUCCCCAAAUGUGGACUGAGAUCCCUGCUAGCUCUAUGGGUUACCAGCUCAGUAGGGGAUGGAAGGGUUACCAAAAACUCCUGUACAACACUGAGGAUCCAGUGCGAAGUCGUCCCAGAUCAGUUAGUGGGCUAUAAGGUGGUGACUGGUCUCCUGUGUGUUCUGGUGCUGGUGGUGCUGAUGGUGCGUUUCGGGCAGCCCUCCCUCAAGGCCCUCCGUAAGAGACUGUCAGACAAGAGACAGAGUCGGUGGGUUGGACCUACACAGAGUCAAAGUGUCUCCUACCAUAGAGGGAAGGCUGGACUCCAACUUAACGACAACACAGACAAGAGACACUCCUACCCUGGGUUGGAGAGACUGACAGUGAACAACAGCCGAGAGCCUUCAUCUAACAGAAACAGUGAUUAUGACUCUUAUAACGUAUGAUCUUCAUCAUCAUCAUCCUCCAGCCACUAUGACAAAAUACUGUACAUGUAUUUUUUUUUAUUUUGCUAUAUUCUUUAUGCUAAAUUGUAUAUAUUUUUACGCACAUAAUAUCCUUUGUUUUCUACAGAUGUAAUUCAAUAAUUGACUUAUUUUAUUGAAUAAACGUAAAGCUUGUUGUUGAAUAAAACUUUUGUUCCUCAUACUGAUAAGUGAACAGAAUGUUGAAAGUGAGAGAAAGAAAGGUCAUGAAAAGCAGGAUAAGCGAAAGAGGGAGAGAAGGUAAUGUUGUGAGAAAGAAAGGGGAUAAAAAAAGAUGUAAACUGGGUUAUGUAGAGACGGGGGAAAUGACGAGUGAGUGGUCGCACACACACACGCACUCACACACAAACUUCUGAUUUCUGCAACGAUGUGGCUUCCUGUACCAUUGACACCAACAUCCUGUUUCUGUUAUUUCUGUCACACUUUCAUUCCCUCAUUCUCUCGUUCUAAAUUUAUGUUCAUCUUACCCCUGUGUCUCGCUUCUCAUCCUCGAACAACCUCCAUCACCCUUUUGUGUUCUUCUUCUUCCUCCAUCCGUCAUUCCUUUCUUCAUAAUCCCCCUCUUUUUCUCCAUCUCCAUCUUCCUGUCCUCUAUUCAUUUGGCUGUCGUGUCAACAUUUUUCUAAUUUAUUUUCUCAAAGUAAGACUAUUGUUGUGGAGGAGAUUGUUCUUCCGUAUCUUUUCACUUCUCUUUUGAGUUGAAUGAAAGAAUGUUUUCUGUCUGGAAUUGAAGUGGAGAAGAUUGUGCCGACGCCAUCUUAUUGUAGAAAAACACUGUUUGGCAAACUGAGCCUCAGUCAGUCUUCCACGUGUGUGUGUGUGUGUGUGUGUGUUUGUGUGAGUCAAGAGGUCAAAUACGGGGUGAUUAUAUCUGUCCUGUUUCACACAUGUACAAGUGUAUAACCUGUAGCGGGUGUGGUGAAAUGGAAAUGUAUUUUGCACAUCCCACUCCACAUGAGGCACCCUUGGAGAGUGGGGUCACGGCAUGUGUGUGUGUGUGUGCGUGCGUGAGUCACACACACGAUUUGGCAUGGAAGACAACUAUACAUUGUGUGUGUGUGUGUACAUGUGAGUGCAUGCAGGGCAGUGUGUGACGUGUGUGUGUCUGUGAGCGAGAGUGUGUGGGCGUAGUUCUGUCUUCCUCUCUGUCAGGUCACGCUAGACUAGAGGAUUACAUCUUUCCCAUCAGAGGAACAAUGACAGAUGACAACAGAUUACGCACAGAGAUUAUCUCAGAAAGAGGGAGAGAUGUGGAGUGAGAGGGUGAAAGAGGGGAGAGAGGGAAGAGAGAGAGGAGAGGAUGGAGCGACAAAAGUAUGAUCAAGUGAACCGGCUGUAAAUCUAGUCACUUUGACACAUUGAGUGAGUGACUACAUAAAAUGCAACACGCAUGAUGCGCAUUAACAGGCAUACAGAUAUUAAAAUAGCUCUCACUCUCAGAUACAGAUACACAUGCAGCAUGCACAAACUGAAAUAACUGUACUCAGUGAAGUCCAGUCCAUGUAAAUAAAGAUUAUUAAGUUGUUAAAAUGUAAUAAUACCUCACCAUCA
This is an RNA transcript of Coregonus clupeaformis (lake whitefish), 2621 nucleotides long. RefSeq lists it as uncharacterized. The transcript is spliced from 6 exons. NCBI's taxonomy places the organism in Eukaryota, Metazoa, Chordata, Actinopteri, Salmoniformes, Salmonidae. The record is from RefSeq and is a predicted model, not a curated record.